This 91-nucleotide transfer RNA is filed under the name candidate division WWE3 bacterium RBG_16_37_10. Its description in RNAcentral is "tRNA-Ser". It matches the Rfam family "tRNA". Rfam says of the family: Transfer RNA (tRNA) molecules are approximately 80 nucleotides in length. Their secondary structure includes four short double-helical elements and three loops (D, anti-codon, and T loops). Further hydrogen bonds mediate the characteristic L-shaped molecular structure. tRNAs have two regions of fundamental functional importance: the anti-codon, which is responsible for specific mRNA codon recognition, and the 3' end, to which the tRNAs corresponding amino acid is attached (by aminoacyl-tRNA synthetases). tRNAs cope with the degeneracy of the genetic code in two manners: having more than one tRNA (with a specific anti-codon) for a particular amino acid; and 'wobble' base-pairing, i.e. permitting non-standard base-pairing at the 3rd anti-codon position. The record is from RNAcentral. RNAcentral also lists the same sequence under 1 other name. Lineage: Bacteria; candidate division WWE3.
GGAGGGUUAGCCAAGUGGUUACGGCAACGGUUUGCUAAACCGUCACGGUCCAAAAAGCCGUGCGUGGGUUCGAAUCCCACACCCUCCGCCA